GACGAACGCUGGCGGCGUGCUUAACACAUGCAAGUCGAACGGAAAGGCCCUGCUUUUGUGGGGUGCUCGAGUGGCGAACGGGUGAGUAACACGUGAGUAACCUGCCCUUGACUUUGGGAUAACUUCAGGAAACUGGGGCUAAUACCGGAUAGGAGCUCCUGCUGCAUGGUGGGGGUUGGAAAGUUUCGGCGGUUGGGGAUGGACUCGCGGCUUAUCAGCUUGUUGGUGGGGUAGUGGCUUACCAAGGCUUUGACGGGUAGCCGGCCUGAGAGGGUGACCGGCCACAUUGGGACUGAGAUACGGCCCAGACUCCUACGGGAGGCAGCAGUGGGGAAUAUUGCACAAUGGGCGGAAGCCUGAUGCAGCAACGCCGCGUGCGGGAUGACGGCCUUCGGGUUGUAAACCGCUUUCGCCUGUGACGAAGCGUGAGUGACGGUAAUGGGUAAAGAAGCACCGGCUAACUACGUGCCAGCAGCCGCGGUGAUACGUAGGGUGCGAGCGUUGUCCGGAUUUAUUGGGCGUAAAGGGCUCGUAGGUGGUUGAUCGCGUCGGAAGUGUAAUCUUGGGGCUUAACCCUGAGCGUGCUUUCGAUACGGGUUGACUUGAGGAACGUAGGGGAGAAUGGAAUUCCUGGUGGAGCGGUGGAAUGCGCAGAUAUCAGGAGGAACACCAGUGGCGAAGGCGGUUCUCUGGGCCUUUCCUGACGCUGAGGAGCGAAAGCGUGGGGAGCGAACAGGCUUAGAUACCCUGGUAGUCCACGCUGUAAACGGUGGGUACUAGGUGUGGGGUCCAUUCCACGGGUUCCGUGCCGUAGCUAACGCUUUAAGUACCCCGCCUGGGGAGUACGGCCGCAAGGCUAAAACUCAAAGGAAUUGACGGGGCCCCGCACAAGCGGCGGAGCAUGCGGAUUAAUUCGAUGCAACGCGUAGAACCUUACCUGGGUUUGACAUGGAUCGGGAGUGCUCAGAGAUGGGUGUGCCUCUUUUGGGGUCGGUUCACAGGUGGUGCAUGCCUGUCGUCAGCUCGUGUCGUGAGAUGUUGGGUUAAGUCCCGCAACGAGCGCAACCCUUGUUCACUGUUGCCAGCACGUUAUGGUGGGGACUCAGUGGAGACCGCCGGGGUCAACUCGGAGGAAGGUGGGGAUGACGUCAAGUCAUCAUGCCCCUUAUGUCCAGGGCUUCACGCAUGCUACAAUGGCUGGUACAGAGAGUGGCGAGCCUGUGAGGGUGAGCGAAUCUCGGAAAGCCGGUCUCAGUUCGGAUUGGGGUCUGCAACUCGACCUCAUGAAGUCGGAGUCGCUAGUAAUCGCAGAUCAGCAACGCUGCGGUGAAUACGUUCCCGGGGCU
Molecule: ribosomal RNA, 1346 nt
Filed under: uncultured bacterium
Lineage: Bacteria
Description: partial 16S ribosomal RNA
Rfam family: Bacterial small subunit ribosomal RNA
Source: RNAcentral